Molecule: ribosomal RNA, 266 nt
Filed under: uncultured bacterium
Lineage: Bacteria
Description: partial 16S ribosomal RNA
Rfam family: Bacterial small subunit ribosomal RNA
Source: RNAcentral
CGGGGUGAGUAACGCGUGGAAAACCUGCCGUAUACUGGGGGAUAACACUUAGAAAUAGGUGCUAAUACCGCAUAAGCGCACAGACCCGCAUGGGACAGUGUGGAAAACAAAAAGCUAAAGCUUUUUAUGGUAUACGAUGGUUCCGCGUCUGAUUAGCUUGUUGGCGGGGUAACGGCCCACCAAGGCGACGAUCAGUAGCCGGCCUGAGAGGGUGAACGGCCACAUUGGGACUGAGACACGGCCCAGACUCCUACGGGAGGCAGCAG